Molecule: non-coding RNA, 26 nt
Filed under: Rattus norvegicus (Norway rat)
Lineage: Eukaryota; Metazoa; Chordata; Mammalia; Rodentia; Muridae
Source: RNAcentral
CCAUUUCUUGACCUUGAGGGGCAGAC